ACUAAUUAAAUUCCCUAAUGACUGCUCUUUGUAUUAAGUCAUAUGCUUGUAAAAGAAGCACUGAAUGUCAUGUCUUUUUUUUCCACCUGCUUUGUCAUUAUUCUUUAUAUACUUUUCUUAAUCUUUAUUACAUUCCAUUACUAUCUCUACUCUGUGUCAAUUAUUACUAUCAUGGCUUGUGCUCUCACUUCAUAUUAGGCUCCAUAAUUCCAGCAGGAAACUAUGGACACUUGACAUUCAUACACUGCAAGAAACUAGCUUUUAACUAAACAAACUUUUUGUUCAUAUUAAGUAUGAACCCAAAACAUGUUAUACUUUCUUAUUCCGAAAAUGUACAUCAAUGCAGUAUUUUCUUUAAAUGUUUAAUAGAUGUUUCUAAUAGGAUGUACCCAGCGGUGAAAUCCAGCCGGAUCGUUCCAGCUCAUGCGAACCUGUAGGGCUCCGCCCACCCACUCGGAUAUCAUUACAUUCUGUUUUUUACCCUCUGUGCAUGCGCAGAAGAGGCACAUGCUCACAGUUCUGAAUCGGUAGCGAAGGAGAGGGCUUCAGCAGGAAGAUGGCCAGAAUCUCAGUAUAUUUUCUCAUAAAGGUAUUCUUUUAUGCUUUUAUGAAGAUGUGUUUUAAUGAUGGUGUCAUACUCUGGGAUCUACUGAAACAGAAGUAUGGAGUAUGAAUGCAGAUUUGGUCUGUGACAUCUGAAGUCCAGUGAAUGGAGGUCAAGAGAAUCGAAAUGUUAUUAUAUUACUAAAUUAGUUGGCUGACAACAAAGUAUGCUAUUUUUGAGUCUGAGCUACCCUUCAUGUAGGAAUAGAGCAGAGAGUAGC
Molecule: long non-coding RNA, 824 nt
Organism: Ahaetulla prasina
Lineage: Eukaryota; Metazoa; Chordata; Lepidosauria; Squamata; Colubridae
Exons: 4
Source: RefSeq, a predicted model, not a curated record